GGUCCCAUAGCUCAGUCGGUUAGAGCACCUGACUCAUAAUCAGGGAGUCACUGGUUCAAGCCCAGUUGGGACCACCA
Molecule: transfer RNA, 77 nt
Filed under: Bacteroidota bacterium
Lineage: Bacteria; Pseudomonadati; Bacteroidota
Also listed under: 2 other names
Description: tRNA-Ile
Rfam family: tRNA
About the family: Transfer RNA (tRNA) molecules are approximately 80 nucleotides in length. Their secondary structure includes four short double-helical elements and three loops (D, anti-codon, and T loops).
Source: RNAcentral